RNAcentral lists this ribosomal RNA (279 nucleotides) under uncultured bacterium. RNAcentral describes it as "partial 16S ribosomal RNA". It matches the Rfam family "Bacterial small subunit ribosomal RNA", at positions 230 to 507 of the family's 1533-position model. The record is from RNAcentral.
CUUGCGUCUGAUUAGCUAGUUGGUGUGGUAACGGCACACCAAGGCUACGAUCAGUAACUGGUCUGAGAGGAUGAUCAGUCACACUGGAACUGAGACACGGUCCAGACUCCUACGGGAGGCAGCAGUGAGGAAUAUUGGGCAAUGCUCGAAAGAGUGACCCAGCAACGCCGCGUGGAGGAUGAAGGUAUUCUAUAUCGUAAACUCCUGUGAGAGCAGACGAAAGACAGAUUAUUAAUCUGGAUGACUGUAUGCUCAGAGGAAGCCCCGGCUAACUACGUG